CCUAACACAUGCAAGUCGAGCGAUCUCUUCGGAGAAGAGCGGCGGACGGGUGAGUAACGCGUGGGUAACCUGCCUCAUACACAUGGAUAACAUACCGAAAGGUAUGCUAAUACAGGAUAAUAUAAGAGAUUCACAUGGAUUUCUUAUCAAAGCUCCGGCGGUAUGAGAUGGACCCGCGUCUGAUUAGCUAGUUGGUAAGGUAACGGCUUACCAAGGCGACGAUCAGUAGCCGACCUGAGAGGGUGAUCGGCCACAUUGGAACUGAGACACGGUCCAAACUCCUACGGGAGGCAGCAGUGGGGAAUAUUGCACAAUGGGCGAAAGCCUGAUGCAGCAACGCCGCGUGAGUGAUGAAGGCCUUCGGGUCGUAAAACUCUGCCCUCAAGGAAGAUAAUGACGGUACUUGAGGAGGAAGCCCCGGCUAACUACGUGCCAGCCGCUGC
Molecule: ribosomal RNA, 443 nt
Filed under: uncultured bacterium
Lineage: Bacteria
Description: bacterial SSU rRNA
Rfam family: Bacterial small subunit ribosomal RNA
Source: RNAcentral